RNAcentral lists this small RNA (275 nucleotides) under Pongo abelii (Sumatran orangutan). RNAcentral describes it as "processed transcript". The record is from RNAcentral. Lineage: Eukaryota; Metazoa; Chordata; Mammalia; Primates; Hominidae.
UUCUUCUGUAGGGUCUCGGAGCAGAUCGAGCUGACUCCCGUUCUGCCAGGAGAACCAGCAGAAAUCCACCAACGUAGUCUAUCAGGCCCACCAUGUGAGCAGGAAUAAGAGAGGGCAAGUGGUUGGAACAAGGGGUGGGUUCCGAGGAUGUACCGUGUGGCUAACAGGUCUCUCUGGCGCUGGAAAAACAACGAUAAGUUUUGCCCUGGAGGAGUACCUUGUCUCCCAUGCCAUCCCUUGUUACUCCCUGGAUGGGGACAAUGUCCGUCAUGGCC